CACGUAGGGCGCAAGCGUUGUCCGGAAUUAUUGGGCGUAAAGAGCUCGUAGGCGGUGUGUCGCGUCGGCCGUGAAAACCUGCAGCUUAACUGUGGGCGUGCGGUCGAUACGGGCACCACUGGAGUUCGGCAGGGGAGACUGGAAUUCCUGGUGUAGCGGUGAAAUGCGCAGAUAUCAGGAGGAACACCGGUGGCGAAGGCGGGUCUCUGGGCCGAUACUGACGCUGAGGAGCGAAAGCGUGGGGAGCGAACAGG
This 254-nucleotide ribosomal RNA is filed under the name uncultured bacterium. Its description in RNAcentral is "partial 16S ribosomal RNA". It matches the Rfam family "Bacterial small subunit ribosomal RNA", at positions 524 to 776 of the family's 1533-position model. The record is from RNAcentral.